GCCGGUCCUCGGUAGUGGCCCCCGGGGGGAAGUGAACCCGGGUGCUUCGAUCGAAGACCGGC
Molecule: non-coding RNA, 62 nt
Organism: Streptomyces phaeoluteigriseus
Lineage: Bacteria; Bacillati; Actinomycetota; Actinomycetes; Kitasatosporales; Streptomycetaceae
Source: Rfam